UUGUAGUCUGCAACCCGACUACAUGAAGCUGGAAUCGCUAGUAAUCGCGGAUCAGAAUGCCGCGGUGAAUACGUUCCCGGGUCUUGUACACACCGCCCGUCACACCAUGGGAGUCGGAAAUGCCCGAAGUCGGUGACCUAACUGAAAGGAAGGAGCCGCCGAAGGCAGGUCUGGUGACUGGGGUGAAGUCGUAACAAGGUAGC
RNAcentral lists this ribosomal RNA (203 nucleotides) under uncultured bacterium. RNAcentral describes it as "partial 16S ribosomal RNA". It matches the Rfam family "Bacterial small subunit ribosomal RNA", at positions 1298 to 1500 of the family's 1533-position model. The record is from RNAcentral.